CCGCGGUAUUCUAACCGUGCGAAGGUAGCGCAAUCAAUUGCCUUUUAAAUGAAGGCCUGUAUGAAUGGUAUAACGAGGGUCUGACUGUCUCUUUUUUCUAGUCAGUUAAACUGAUCUGUCCGUGCAGAAGCGGACAUUAUUAUACAAGACGAGAAGACCCUAUGGAGCUUUAGACACUAGCCAACUGUGAAUGAGCGACUGAACUAUACAAGUCUUAAAUACCCACAGCCUCUGGUAAUGUAGUCUUAGGUUGGGGCGACCACGGGAGAAAAUAAAGCUCCCAAGCAGACCGGGAAAACCCUUAAGCCCAGAGUUGCAACUCUAAGCCGCAAAAAUUUUGACUGAAAUGAUCCGGUUGAAAAACCGAUUAACGAACCAAGUUA
Molecule: ribosomal RNA, 383 nt
Filed under: Engraulis mordax (northern anchovy)
Lineage: Eukaryota; Metazoa; Chordata; Actinopteri; Clupeiformes; Engraulidae
Description: partial 16S ribosomal RNA
Rfam family: Bacterial large subunit ribosomal RNA
Source: RNAcentral